This is a non-coding RNA of Strongylocentrotus purpuratus (purple sea urchin), 72 nucleotides long. NCBI's taxonomy places the organism in Eukaryota, Metazoa, Echinodermata, Echinoidea, Camarodonta, Strongylocentrotidae. The record is from Rfam.
GCCGUGAUCGUCUAGUGGUUAGGACAUUGCGUUGUGGUCGCAAUAACCCAGGUUCGAAUCCUGGUCACGGCA